Long non-coding RNA from Myotis brandtii (Brandt's bat), 632 nucleotides. RefSeq lists it as uncharacterized. Lineage: Eukaryota; Metazoa; Chordata; Mammalia; Chiroptera; Vespertilionidae. The record is from RefSeq and is a predicted model, not a curated record. The transcript is spliced from 2 exons.
AAGAAGUCCUUUUAAAACCUCUCUUGGAGAAAGGAUCUUAAUACAGAAAGAGUGUUCUUUUGACUUUCAGAAUGGGGCUGAGUAGGUAAUAUAUAUUUAGUAAUGAAACAGAGUUUAGUACCUUCUCAGAAAGUUAACCUCCAUGGUUGUCACUUAAAUUAUACAAAGGAAAUAUUGAAUAUGUGAGUGACUGUGGGCCAUUUUUAUAGAGGCUGGAGUAAACUGGCUAUAUUGACUUUUAGAAUGUGUUGACUUGUAAUAACAAUAAUUGCUAAUAUUUACGGAAUACAUUCUAUUUGCCAGGCGCAAAUUGCAGCUCUUUCUAUGGAGCAUCUAAUUUAAUCUUCAGAAGGACACUUAUGAGUUAGAGCUGAAAAAGGCAAGAGAGGUGAAUUGGAUAGUUCGUCAUUUGCUUACUUUUUCAUCUAAAUCUGCUCCUUCAAGAGAAAAAGCACUUUCAUUGCCUCCCCAUCCUAAGAGUCUGACAAUGGAAUGAUUAUCUUGUGUGUAGAAGAAAGGUGUAGAGUUAGUAACACUGUGCUUGCUCUAUUAAGGAACACUGGUAAUUAGCAAUUGAUUUAUGUAACUAUAAAAGACAGUUUUGAAAAAAUAAGAAUCAAUGUUUAAUUAUG